This 24-nucleotide non-coding RNA is filed under the name Arabidopsis thaliana (thale cress). The record is from RNAcentral. Lineage: Eukaryota; Viridiplantae; Streptophyta; Magnoliopsida; Brassicales; Brassicaceae.
UUUUAUGGUAGCCAAGAUAGGAUG